UACAGAGGUCUCAAGCGUUGUUCGGAUUCAUUGGGCGUAAAGGGUGCGUAGGCGGCGCGGUAAGUCGGGUGUGAAAUCUUGGAGCUUAACUCCGAAACUGCAUUCGAUACUGCCGUGCUUGAGUCCUGGAGAGGAGACUGGAAUUUACGGUGUAGCGGUGAAAUGCGUAGAUAUCGUAAGGAAGACCAGUGGCGAAGGCGGGCCUCUGGACAGUUCCUGACGCUGAGGCACGAAGGCCAGGGGAGCAAACGGG
RNAcentral lists this ribosomal RNA (253 nucleotides) under uncultured bacterium. RNAcentral's name for it is "partial 16S ribosomal RNA". It matches the Rfam family "Bacterial small subunit ribosomal RNA", at positions 524 to 776 of the family's 1533-position model. The record is from RNAcentral.